AUCAAGGUGCCAACAAUCUUUCAUGUAUAAAAAAUUCCUUUCCUACUUUACAUCUUAUCUCUAAUUCAGAUCGCAUUCAAAUUAGGCAAGAGAUAAGAUUAUGACUCAUCAACUAUUGCUACCCACUCUUAUUAGACCCUCUAUUAUGAUGCCAAAAAUCACAACCCAAAUCUAAUUAGGCAUGGAGAAAUUGGCAUGGGUUCAG
This 205-nucleotide long non-coding RNA is filed under the name Elaeis guineensis (African oil palm). RNAcentral describes it as "long non-coding RNA (EGUI_LNC076998)". The record is from RNAcentral. Lineage: Eukaryota; Viridiplantae; Streptophyta; Magnoliopsida; Arecales; Arecaceae.